This 349-nucleotide RNase P RNA is filed under the name marine eukaryotic metagenome. RNAcentral describes it as "Bacterial RNase P class A". It matches the Rfam family "Bacterial RNase P class A". From Rfam's summary of the family: Ribonuclease P (RNase P) is a ubiquitous endoribonuclease, found in archaea, bacteria and eukarya as well as chloroplasts and mitochondria. The record is from RNAcentral.
CGCUUUUAAGCAAUUAAAAGAGGAAAGUCUGGGCAGCAUAGAGCGCCGUACUUCCUAACGGGAAGGCAUUGUUAGAAAUAAUGAUGACAGAAAGUGCCACAGAAAGGAAAACUACCAGUAACUUGUUAUUGGAAAAGGUGAAAAGGUGAGGUAAGAGCUCACCGUGUUUCGAGUGAUCGAAAUUGCAAGGUAAACCUUACGGGCUGAAAGACCAUGUAAACCUAGGCUUGAGGACUGCUCGUUCGAACUAGGAGGGUAGGUUGAUUGAUCCUAACAGUGAUGUUAGGGCUAGAUAAAUGAUAGACAGCUGUAUUUAUACAGUUACAGGACCCGGCUUAUGAUUUGCCUU